Oncorhynchus keta (chum salmon) is the source of this 1280-nucleotide long non-coding RNA. RefSeq lists it as uncharacterized. The record is from RefSeq and is a predicted model, not a curated record. NCBI's taxonomy places the organism in Eukaryota, Metazoa, Chordata, Actinopteri, Salmoniformes, Salmonidae. The transcript is spliced from 4 exons.
GGAGAGGAUCAUAUAAGUUAAACCAUGUGAUCAGUGCUGCUUCCUCUGUUUAAACACACACACACACACACACACACACACACACACACACACACACACACACACACACCUCUGUUUACAAACUGUACUCACUGUUUGAGCUCGACUCCAAUAUUAAAGUUAUCAGAGAUAUGGUAGCCUGGCUAGGCAUUACACACUUUACACACAUUACACACCAAAAAGGGCUCUUCGGCUGUCCCCAUAGGAGAACCAUUUUUGGUUCCAGGUAGAACACUCUGUGGAAAGGGUUCAACAUUGAACAGACAGUUUGAGAGGUAAACAGUCUAUUGACAGACAGUUUGAGAGGUAAACAGUCUAUUGACAGACAGUUUGAGAGGUAAACAGUCUAUUGACAGACAGUUUGAGAGGUAAACAGUCUAUUGACAGACAGUUUGAGAGGUAAACAGUCUAUUGACAGACAGUUUGAGAGGUAAACAGUCUAUUGACAGACAGUUUGAGAGGUAAACAGUCUAUUGACAGACAGUUUGAGAGGUAAACAGUCUAUUGACAGACAGUUUGAGUAGUAAACAGUCUAUUAACAGACAGUUUGAGAGGUAAACAGUCUUAACAGACAGUUUGAGAGGUAAACAGUCUUAACAGACAGUUUGAGAGGUAAACAGUCUUAACAGACAGUUUGAGAGGUAAACAGUCUUAACAGACAGUUUGAGAGGUAAACAGUCUUAACAGACAGUUUGAGAGGUAAACAGUCUUAACAGACAGUUUGAGAGGUAAACAGUCUUAACAGACAGUUUGAGAGGUAAACAGUCUUAACAGACAGUUUGAGAGGUAAACAGUCUUAACAGACAGUUUGAGAGGUAAACAGUCUUAACAGACAGUUUGAGAGGUAAACAGUCUAUUAACAGACAGUUUGAGAGGUAAACAGUCUAUUAACAGACAGUUUGAGAGGUAAACAGUCUAUUAACAGACAGUUUGAGAGGUAAACAGUCUAUUAACAGACAGUUUGAGAGGUAAACAGUCUUAACAGACAGUUUGAGAGGUAAACAGUCUUAACAGACAGUUUGAGUAGUAAACAGUCUAUUAACAGACAGUUUGAGUAGUAAACAGUCUUAACAGACAGUGUCAACAGUCUCAGCACACUGACCCAGAUGUCUUUAGUCUAUAUAGUUCAGACACAAGUGCAAAACAUCAUAUUAAUCCCCCACCUACCCACACACAUGCACACACACACACACACACGCCUACCUGUUCACCUAUUCACACACAGUCUGAUAAAAGAUGAG